Molecule: ribosomal RNA, 466 nt
Filed under: uncultured bacterium
Lineage: Bacteria
Description: bacterial SSU rRNA
Rfam family: Bacterial small subunit ribosomal RNA
Source: RNAcentral
CAGGACGAACGCUGGCGGCGUGCUUAACACAUGCAAGUUGAACGGUAAGGCCCUUCGGGGUACACGAGUGGCGAACGGGUGAGUAACACGUGGGUGAUCUGCCCUGCACUUCGGGAUAAGCCUGGGAAAACUGGGUCUAAUACCGGAUAGGACCAUGGACUUCACGGUUUGUGGUGGAAAGCUUUUGCGGUGUGGGAUGGGCCCGCGGCCUAUCAGCUUGUUGGUGGGGUAAUGGCCUACCAAGGGCGACGACGGGUAGCCGGCCUGAGAGGGUGUCCGGCCACACUGGGACUGAGAUACGGCCCAGACUCCUACGGGAGGCAGCAGUGGGGAAUAUUGCACAAUGGGCGCAAGCCUGAUGCAGCGACGCCGCGUGAGGGAUGACGGCCUUCGGGUUGUAAACCUCUUCAAUAGGGACGAAGCGCAAGUGACGGUACCCAUAGAAGAAGCACCGGCCAACUACGUG